This 2213-nucleotide ribosomal RNA is filed under the name Triticum aestivum (bread wheat). RNAcentral describes it as "partial small subunit ribosomal RNA". Lineage: Eukaryota; Viridiplantae; Streptophyta; Magnoliopsida; Poales; Poaceae. The record is from RNAcentral.
UUUGGAAUUUACGUGGACUGCCGUUUACCGCCAAACGAAGCGAGAGACCAGCUUAGCUAUAUGAGAGGUGAGAGUAGAGGGAGGGCACGGGCUGCUUUAGGGGUGGAAUCGGAGAGGAAGGAGGCUUGGGAUUGGGGUCGGUACGGGGGGCCGCGCCGCCGGCGGCGGUUUAGGCUACUGCUCCUGCUGAUGCUCCUCAUGUAGGGGCAGAGGUUCGCGUCCCGGUACCUCCGGCUGGCGGAGGCGGUGGUCGCGGAGAGGUUCGGGCGGCGGCGGCGGAGGCGCCCGAGGGAGGGUGGCGGAGGCGGGGGCGGCCGCCGGUUGGGGCGGCGGCGGGGGCUACUGCGGCGGGGGCGGCGGUUCGGAUCGGAGGAGCAGUGCAGGUGCGUCGAGUUCGCGCGCCGGGGCCUCCAGUGGCGGUGGCUCGUCUAGUAGGACGUCCUCUUCCUCUACUAGCUGUUGGAGAGGUUGUUCUUGUGCGAGUACAGGCACGCCCUCGAGCGGUUCCCGUAGUGGAUGUGGCUCGGCGAGGCGUGGCCGACCUUCGGCGGCGACGCCGAGGCGGCGUACGGCGCGUGGUUCCGGCUGCUCGAGGCGGCGUUCACCGUGUAGGACCAGCUUCCUCUGCUCUAGGGCGGCGGGCGGGCGCUGAAGGCACUGGAGGCGAAGGGGCUCGGGCAGGAAGCCUACGAGGCGCUCUUCCCGUAGCACGUCGGGUGCGGGUAGGUCCACGUCCCCGAAGGGCACCACGAGAGGCCCGCCCUGUACUAGCCGUAGCGGAAGUGGCCCAGGCCCUUCUGAGACCACAAGCACGACGGGGAGUAGUACCACCGAGACGUUCUCCUUUACAACUACGGAUAACACGGACCCCUCCCGGGCAAACCGUACUAGUAAACGGGUAGUGCCCUCGACCGGUUCGUCUGUAUACUACAGUAGCUAUACAAGGAGUGAGGUGAGUUCGUCCGACCCAAGGGUCUUUAUGCUGGUAACGAAACGUAACCCCCAUAUCUGUACUCCUGUGUUGACCUACACCACUUCUUCCCGCAUGUAUAACACCACCGGUGUGGACCCGCCGAGUUCCUAGAAGAGCGGUUCUUCUUCUACUUGGAACUGUUGACGUCCAUAAAUUGAAAUCUACUUCGACUAUCCGAACAACUAGAACCUAAACUUCUACUGUAAGCCCUCCAAAAACUGGUAAAGUUCCGUGUUUCCGUUUGGGAAGAAAAAAGACGGUGAUACGGGUUCUUCUAAGUCUUGAAACGUUUCUCGCGGGAACAUUUCGGUCAAUAACAGUUACAACCUUCUCGACCUCGUCGUUUAGACCUACAGUAGGUUCUUCAACUCAUACAGUUCCUUCUACGGUCUUAAUAUAUGGAGGAACUUACGGAAGUUUUCUGAGGUGGAGGACAAGAAUAUAAAACACUUUUGUUUCGACUACAACUGAUGUAGGUGCUCAUAGAAGAAGAUUUCCCACACCUUCGACAACGUUAGGUGCCUCCGUUUCUAGUCCUCCUCUCUGUCUUACGCUAACUCAAGAAGUUCUUACCUUUCUUCCUACAAAACCACCGAUGACUACAACGGAGUUUCCCAGAACUGAAGGGACUAUAGGUCGUGCACUAAUUGAUACUGUACGGACGGCUUUAUCUCUUGAUACAGGUGUCCUAACCAGCUUGGCCAGCUACGCCCUUUUGCCCUUAUCGUUGAUGCAAGUAGUUGUUCUUGGUCUGUCUCUGAUGCGAAGAACUGGAGUUCGUGGACGAGUUCCUUCGCUUCGUUUCUUAUGGUGGUCACGAACGACUCGAGCAACUGGGCGACCUCCUACGACUUCGAUAACGGUUCCUCUCACCACAGUUUCCUACACGUAAGACACCACCGGAACCCGUAGCAGAACGACUGACAGGUUUCGACCUCGUGGUCUUCAGGCACCGCUAGCGACCGAGGUCUUCUCUAAUGAUGCCGCCACCUCCAAUGGCACCUCUUUAUACUAAUGUAGUAGUAUAAUAAUUCUCACAUACGAAAUAGUUCUCUCCUCAUUGUCUCUCACUCCCGACACUUCGACAUUAUCAAUAUAACCGGCAGAAAAAAAAAACCUACCUCCUAUAACCGUAGAAAAUCCCUCGAACCUGCUCGUAGUGUGAUCAAACUAAAUAACAAUUGUCGAACUUUCAAGUCUUGUAGACGGUACCUUUAUAUGUCCAACGAACUGAACAACG